Molecule: ribosomal RNA, 484 nt
Filed under: uncultured bacterium
Lineage: Bacteria
Description: partial 16S ribosomal RNA
Rfam family: Bacterial small subunit ribosomal RNA
Source: RNAcentral
AUUGAACGCUGGCGGCAUGCUUUACACAUGCAAGUCGAACGGCAGCGCGGGCUUCGGCCUGGCGGCGAGUGGCGAACGGGUGAGUAAUACACCGGAACGUGCCCAGUAGUGGGGGCUAGGUCGGCGAAAGGCGGAUUAAACCCGCAUAGGACCAGAGGGUGAACGGCGGGGUUCUUCGGAGCAAGCCGGUUUUGAUGUGCCUAUGAGAGAUUAGCUAGUUGGUGGGGUAACGGCCUACCAAGGCGACGAUCUGUAGCGGGUCUGAGAGGACGACCAGCCACACUGGGACUGAGACACGGCCCAGACUCCUACGGGAGGCAGCAGUGGGGAAUUUUGGACAAUGGGCGAAAGCCUGAUCCAGCAAUGCCGCGUGUGUGAUGAAGGCCUUCGGGUUGUAAAGCACUUUUGGCGGGAACGAAAAGGACUGUGCCAAUACCACGGUUCGAUGACGGUACCCGCAGAAUAAGCACCGGCUAACUACGUG